This 1479-nucleotide ribosomal RNA is filed under the name uncultured bacterium. Its description in RNAcentral is "bacterial SSU rRNA". It matches the Rfam family "Bacterial small subunit ribosomal RNA". The record is from RNAcentral.
AUUAGAGUUUGAUCCUGGCUCAGGACGAACGCUUGCGGCGUGCCUAAGAAAUGCAAGUCGAACGGCCCAGCAAUGGGCAGUGGCGAACGGUCGCGUAACACGUAGGCAACCUGCCCCGGAGUGGGGGACAACGGCCCGAAAGGGCCGCUAAUACCGCAUGUGGUUGCGCUUUCGCAUGAGAGCGCAUCUAAAGCCUUGUGCGCUCCGGGAUGGGCUUGCGGCCUAUCAGCUCGUUGGCGGGGUAACGGCCCACCAAGGCGACGACGGGUAGCUGGUCUGAGAGGACGAUCAGCCGGAUUGGGACUGAGAUACGGCCCAGACUCCUACGGGGGGCAGCAAUUAGGAAUCUUGCGCAAUGGGGGCAACCCUGACGCAGCGACGCCGCGUGCGGGACGAAGGCAUUCGUGUCGUAAACCGCUUUUGGCGGGGAAGAAAAGUGACGGUACCCGCCGAAUAAGCCCCGGCUAACUACGUGCCAGCAGCCGCGGUAAUACGUAGGGGGCGAGCGUUGUCCGAAGUUACUGGGCGUAAAGCGCGCGUAGGCGUCCCGAAAAGUCCGGGGUGAAAGGUCCAGCGCUCAACGCGGACAGUGCCUUGGAAACUUUCGGGAUCGAGUGUGGCAGGGGGGAACGGAAUUCCAGGUGUAGCGGUGAAAUGCGUAGAUAUCUGGAGGAACACCGGCGGCGAAGGCGGUUCCCUGGGCUGACACUGACGCUGAGGCGCGAAAGCGUGGGGAGCGAACGGGAUUAGAUACCCCGGUAGUCCACGCCGUAAACGAUGGGUGCUAGGUGUCCGCGGUAUCGACCCCGCGGGUGCCGCCGUUAACACAAUAAGCACCCCGCCUGGGGAGUACGGCCGCAAGGUUGAAACUCAAAGGAAUUGACGGGGGCCCGCACAAGCGGUGGAGCAUGUGGAUUAAUUCGUCACUAACCGAAGAACCUUACCCAGGCUUGACAUCGAGUGAAAGGCCGUGAAAGCGGUCCCUCCCUUCGGGGACACGAAGACAGGUGUUGCAUGGCUGUCGUCAGCUCGUGUCGUGAGAUGUUGGGUUAAGUCCCGCAACGAGCGCAACCCUCACCGUAUGUUGGCAGCGUAAAGUCGGCAACUCUUACGGAACUGCCCGUGCAAGCGGGAGGAAGGUGGGGACGACGUCAAGUCGGCAUGGCCCUUACGCCUGGGGCUUCACACAUGCUACAAUGGGCGGCGACAGAGCGUAUCGAAGGGGCGACCCGGAGGCAAUCGCGCAAAUCCGCCCUCAGUUCGGAUCGCAGGCUGCAACUCGCCUGCGUGAAGCCGGAAUCGCUAGUAACCGCCGGUCAGCUAAACGGCGGUGAAUACGUACCCGGGCCUUGUACACACCGCCUGUCAAGUCACCUGAAUUGUCUGCACCCGAAGUCAGCGGCCUAACCCGGUUCGCCGGGAAGGAGUUGCCGAAGGUGUGGGGAGUGAGGGGGACUAAGUCGUAACAAGGUAACCAAU